ACUCUGCUGAUAGCUUUCAUAAUGCACCCGACUCCCACUUAGUACAACAAUGAACCCACCGAUCGCUCACUCAAGUGUUCUUUCCUUGCAUCCAAACAUCACAUAUACAUAGGCCUACUCAUCUGUCUCUUACUGAGUGAUUCAUUCUGAACGCUGCACAGCUAAAUCACAACAUCUCUACUUUCAUACUCUCCCGGCUAUCUCAGUUUUCCAAGCUUUUCAUGCUUCACCUUUCAAACCUGCCUCAGUGUACAAGAAUUGAUAGCUAGAAAUCGAACUCGAAACCCAUCCAUCUUUCUCACAUUUUCACACUCACCCCAUCCAUCCUUCUGUCACUCUGUUGUUCCCUCCUCUGUUAGUUCCUUCCAUUUUUGUUUGGGACAUUCAUUAUUCCCUGCCUCUUCAAAUCUGUGCCAUCUUUGGUUUCCUAAGCUAUGUGACAACUAAUAGUCUGCUCUGCCUCAGUUUCUUCAUUUUGAAGUGAGAAUAAUAGGAGCACUUACCUCACACUUAAUAAGAUAAUAUUAGUAAAGUGCUUAUCACAGUGCCUGACACAUAGUAGGUUCUUAAUAAAUGCUUAUUUCCUUUUCCUCCUCUUCCCUUUUUUUCCUCUUUCCUUUCCUUUCCUUCCAUUCCUUUUUGGCCCUCUUAUAUUCUAUGUACAUUUGUAGAGUUGACUCUGCCAUCGUAGAAGAAGAUAAACCGGGUUCCUCCAUAUGAUGUCAGUGUUUGUUGUGGGAAGUUCUGUAUCUGAUUGACAAACAUAUCGAAUUAUGUUCCCACUCACUAAUUAUGAAAUACAAAUGAAAACACCGCUUCAAUUUCACAGAUUGGUAAACACGAAAACAAGAGACAAAUGUUAAAUACCUGUCCAAAUGAGUGUGAAAAUCUUGUCAGUGAGGAGAGCUGUGAGGAGCUCUUGGGAUUUGGGGAAACAUUUUGCUAUCAGCAUAUAAGCCAUUAAACCUACAUUUAUACUUGCUAUGUCAACAUUACUCAUAUAAACACACGAUCUAUAGAUCUAUUUUCCAGUUGGACACUCACAUGCAUGUAUGUUCACAUAUCCUACAUAUAUGAAAGAGAAACAAAAAGAAAGUACCCAUCCUUGUGGUAGCAAAGCAGGGGAAGGAAAGCCACAUGGUCUUGAGAAUGGCAGGACAGAUUGUGGUGGGCAGAUGUCAUGGAUUCUCAUUGUUCUGUGAACCAAAACAGAGACAAAUAUUAAGUAUUCAGAAAAAAUUAAGAAGCUUUGGAUAUGGUAGUGCAAAACAAAGUAAGUGGAAAGUAGGAGAGAACUUUACACGAAGGCCACUAGAAUAUUCAAUAAAAUAACACAGGAAAGUUCCGAGUUCUACUCACUGUAGGAACUUGCUCAUGACAGGUCACGUGUGGCUUCUUCCUUCUUCAGAGAGGUAGGGCACAAAUAAGGCCUACAUUGGUAGUCAAGGGCAAUAUAGCGCUUUGUUUUUCUGAAUUGCAAUGGAAUGCCAUUGAAACAUAGGACAACGUCAAUAGGAGGAUUUCAGAGAAUCUUGGGAAAACUCUCCCUUGAUCCUACCAUCCACACUAGAUAUCCCUCCAUUUAUAUAUACUCCUCUACUCUGCUGUGUCCCCCAUCUGUAUCCUUUCAUCUGUCUCUGUGUCCCGGUGUUCAUGUUUGUCUGUGACCCUGUCUUUUCCCACUUGCUCGUGUGUCUGCGUCCAUGUGUCUACAUGCUUCCUUGGUCACCAUCAUUUUCAUCUCUCUGUCUCUUCCUCUUUGGUACAGAUCUCCUUGAUAAAGCCAUCUACAGCUGCUGCCUCCACUUUAUUCACUGUUCCAAACUCUGUCCUCUAGCUUCCAACCUCAUCCUUCCACUAUUUCCUCUAAUGAUCCCCUACUUGCUAAACCCAAUGGCCUUUUCUCAGUCCUCAUCCUUCUUGACCUGUACGUUGCAUUCAGUGCGUUUAAAGAGGCCCCUUUUCCUGGAUAGUCUAAAUGUUUCUGGUUUUUGUAAACUUUGUUCUUUCUUGGUUCUUCUCCUGUCUGUCUCAUCAUUCAUUCUCCAUCUCCUUUGCUGGAUCAUCAUCUAAAUCAUACUUACUAAAUCUGUGCCCCCAAAGCCUUUGCCUUGAGCCAUCUUCUCUUUUCUCUUUCUAAUUGUCAUUUGAUGACUGUGUCAGUUCCCAUGAGUUUAUUGAUCAUAUCUAUAUAAAUGAUUUGGAGAUACCUAUAUUCAGCCCUCGUUUCUCUCCUGAGAUCUAGGAUUACAAAUUACCUAUUUUACAACUGGAUGCCUUCUAGGUAUAUCAGAUUCAACACGUGCAAAACAGAACACAUUUUCUUGCUCUAUCCAUAUGCUCUGUGUCCCUAAUCUGUGUGUCCAGCUUUUCUGGCCACAUGUAUCUCCUGGUUUGUCUAGUUACUAAUUUUUCUAUAUCUUUCACAGGUCUGUGUGUCUCCCAUCUUCAUGUAUCAUCUGUGUAUGUCCCUCUGGCUAGCCACGAGGCUCUCUGAAUAUCCACAGAUUGUCCCAUCUCUUUCCCAAAAUUUGUGCAUCUACCCAGCUUAUUCUUUUAUUUGUCCCUCUCUAUACAUUUACUUUUGUCUGUAAGUGCCCAUUUGUCUGUUCUUCCCUUUGCUUUUGUAUCCUCUUUGUCCAUGUGAAUUCAUAUAUUACCAUAUUCACGCUGUGUAUCUUCAGCUAUAUCCCCCACCUCCUGCCUCUGUUCCCCCAGAUAUUGAAGAGGCCCUCAAGCGAUCCACAUGUUCCCCAGCUGUUUAUAUCCCACCUUAUAUCUGGGCAUAUUUCCCCCAUUUGUCCUUCCAUUUGAAUUGUCUUAGGAAGAUUCUAAAAAUACUUGGCAAGAUAAGGUACCAGAUGCCGAGGUCCUCUCUCGACUUGCUUUGAGCACCAAAGACAAAAGCAAAUCCCCAUCUGUAUUCCCCUUCGGGUGUGCAUCCCUCCAUUUAUAUAUACUCCUCUACUCUACUGUGUCCCCCCCUAUCUUUAUCCUUUCAUCUGUCUCUGUGUCCCAGUGUUCAUUUUUAUCUGUAACCGUGUCUUUUCCCACAUGCUCGUGUGUCUGCAUCCAUGUGUCUACAUGCUUCCUUGGUCACCAUUCCCAUAUGUUCCCUUGUGCUGCUAUGUCCUGUCCCCCUCGCUCAUUUUCCCCAUUUGUGUUUCUCCCAGUUGUCGCUGCCCCAUGUCUAAGCAGCCCUAUUUGAUUCACCAUAUAGAUGUUUCUUUUAGAGCUCUCAUUUAUUUGACAUGUCUUCCAUCUGUCUCUUGGUAUCCCACUACCAGUGUGUGUUUCUCAUCUGUCAUUUCCCUCCAUUUCUCUUUUGUUCUAUCUCUAUUGCCCCUUUGUGUGUCUAUCUGACUCUCCUUCUGCCCAUAGGUCCUCAUCAGUGUGUCUCUGUAUUUACCCUCCCUGCUUCUACGUACGCUCUGUCAGCGUGUAUACCCUCUAUGUUUCUGUGUCUACCCAUGCCUCCUCACCUGGGAUAUUCCUUGUCUUUGGGUCUUCUUUGUUCCCGUCCAUUGUAUACGUCCUCAUCUGAGUCCCACUUCCUUCGUGUAUCCCUGUCUUGUUAUCCGAUGUCUGUUUGUCCUGCUUCUGUUUUUUAAAUAAUAGCUCUAUUUAUCAAAAUAUAUUCAGAGAGUUUUCAACAUGCACCAAAAAACCUUGGGUUCCAAAUUUGUCCCCCUCCCUUCCUCUCCACCUCUCCCUUCCCCUAGAUAGCAAGCAAUCUAAUAUAGAUAAAUCAUGUGUAAUGCUUGUAAACGUCUUUUCAUAAUUAUCAUGCUGCACAAGAAAAAUCACAUCAAAUGGGGAAAAAUGAGAAAGAAAAAAAAACCAAGCAAGCAAAUAACAGUAGCAAAAAAGGAGAAAAUACUUUGAUGUGCUCCCCAUUCAGUCGCAUAGUUCUCUCUGGAUGCAGCCGGCUCUCUCCAUCAUAUGUCCAUAGGAAUUGGCCUGAAUCGUCUCAUUGUUGAGGAGUCAUGUCAUGCUUCUGUUUGUACAUGUCUCUAUGCCCCAUUCUACAUAUCACAUAUGUCUGUUCCCAAUCUGUUUGUUGCCAAAUCCUCCCAUUUAAGCACCUGGUCUACGACUGUCAACCCUUCUUCCUGUCUGUAUGUCCUCCUCUGUAAGGACAUUUCUGUGUUCCCUCCACUCCCCUCUGGUCCAUAGGGAUCACUUUUGUCAGUCUGGGUCUCUGUCUACCAUUUGUCCACAUCACCCUCCUUGGGAGUUCCCUCUGCCCACCUGUGCAUGUCCUGUCUGUUUUGUCCCAUUCUGCCCUCCUCUCUGUCCCUAUGUUUGUGUGCCCCAACUAUACCUUCCCUUAUGUGGAUCUCAUCUGGGUCUCCGUGGCAGUCUGUGUUUCAUCUGUCUCUCCAUUGGUGUGCCCACUCCCUUCUCUAUCUGUCAUGUCUGUGUGGCCCUUGUCUGGUCAUGUGCCCCUUCUUGUGUACGUGAAUGGGCAUGACCCCAUCUGGGUGCAUCUCCUUGUCAGGGCUCUCUGCCUGCAUCUGCUCCUGUUCCUGUAUGUCUCUCCCCCAUUCAUUUCUAUGACCUCCUGUCUUUCUGGGCAUCCUGGCAUCCCCAUGUCUGACUGUGCUGCACCCUACAUUUCAUGCCAAUGUAUGUCUGUUUCUUGGGGUCCUUCUGCCAAGAAACUGUGCUUUUCUUAAAGAAGGCACUUACUAGUAUAUCAGCCUGGGUGACUUCCACACUCCACCCGCGGCCCAUGUGGAGACUGCAGGUCACAAAAGAUCCCAGAUCAUUUUUAUCCCUCUCCCUCCAACUUUUCUCGUGGCUCUCUUCAGUUGGUUGUCUAUCUAUUACUUUGAGUCCUAUCUUUCUUCACAGCCACCCCUGUCCUAACAUUUUCCUGCCUCCCAUCAUCUGUCUCUAAUGUCUGCUUAUCUCUGUGUCCCAUGUACCUCCCUUUCUAUGGACCUAUCCGAGUGGCUCCCUGUCUCCAGGAGCCCUUCUCCCAGCAUGAACAAAGCGGUUUGCAAACCUUAAAUAUUUAUAUAAGUUUGAGAUAUUAUUAUUAUUAUUAUUAUUAUUAUUAUUAUUAUUAUUAUUAUUACUAUGAUUAGCACUCCUUGGAUAUUUCACUCAACACUUCUAAGUUGUUAUCAGCCCAUUCAUGACCGCCACUUUGCCCUGGUCAUCCAAGCACUUGUGAAAGCACCUAAUGAUACCGUCACCUAGUAGCCAUCACUCCCUUUUUCCCCAGAGCAACACAACAUACUCAGGCAAAUAAAAAUACAUGGCGAAAAUCUAGGUAAAUUAUAAAUUACAUCCCCAGAUGAUACAAUCCAGUAACCCUUUUCUCUCUUACCUGAUUCACUUUAUGGGCUCCGGUAUUUUGAACGUUGAAGAUUUGUGACCCCAGAGACCUUAGCAUACCAGGCCCUUCUGUCUGCUAUCUUACAAAGUCUGUCCAAGUUCACGUUUGCUCCUUCCAUGACACUCUCUCAUCUUUGUCACCUCCUGCCAUCCUCUUCUCCUUUUGCCUUCAAUCUUUUCAAACAUCAGAGAAGGACACUAUAGAAAGAAACAGAGAUGUUUCAGAGACAUGACAGGGUAGAGGUGAGAUUGAUUGCUUUCUCUUGUUUUUUGGGAACUCUUUGGUACCAUGAGUGUCAGAGCUAGGAUCAGAGGCCCUGACUUUGAAGGCAUCUUCCAGAGACAGAUGCUUUAGAGUCUGAACCGCCUGCUUAGUGACCAGCUGAUAUUCUCAAGUUCCAUCGAAACUCUAGCCUUGUAUUUCAGACCUCCAGGAGCAGAUUCUAAAUGGAACACAAUGAGAGAGCACCUCCACAUUUAAGAGUUUGGAGGAACUUUGUUCCCUUGGACUACAGGUGUCCUUAAAAUCUGUCUCCACUUUAAAAACCAGUGAAAAGGAAAGCCCUAGCUGAGGGGAGGAAUCCCAUUGAAUUCUAGUAUUACACAGUCAACCAUAACCAAGAGCUACUUCAGCUGCCAGGAGUAACCUUUCACUCCUAGUCUCCUAACAGCUGUUCUCAUUUGAGCUCCCCUCUGAGCUUAGUAGUUUCUAGUUCUGUGUAUCAAAGCUGUUACUAACAAGUAAUGGCAGCAGUUAGGGAGAAAGGCUAACUAUACUAGGAGGCCCGUAAAACUUUCCACCUUUAGGAGGGAGGAAUCGUGUUACUCUCACAUGUGAAAAUGACAACUGGUGUCCGUAUGAAUUGAAUCAAAAGCAGUUCAAAGUGAACUCCAAAGGCGAAGUUGAGAUCCAUAGAAAAAAACUUUGGUACAGCAGGUUCAAACCAUCAAUUACUUGGACAGCAGCUUCUUUCCAUGUUUACCAGAUGAAUAUCACUAAUAAUAAGAAAAUGACAAAUGAAAACAGUUGUAAAGAUUGAGCUCACAUCCAUCAGAUAAACAAAGAGAACAAAAUGUAGAAACAAUAAAUUACUAGACAGGCACAAUAAUACACUAAUCUUACUGAGAAGACAUCUAAUUUAUCCCUAUUACAAACAAUACUUCUUCUUGGUUUUAAAAAGAGACUAUAAUUUUUUAAAAACCUCUAUUUAUUCCUGUGCUUUCUGGGUUUUUUUUUUCUAGAAAUAGGUGUAUUUUCUCAAGUUUUUUUUGUAUCUAUUGAGAUAAUCACAUGAUUUUUGUUACUUUUGUUAUUAAUAUGAUCAUUUAUGCUAAAAGUUUUCCCAAUAUUGAAUAAGCCUUACAUUCUUGAUAUAAAUCCAACCUGAUAAUAUAUGAAGUUUCUGAAAUAUUGCUAUAAUCUCCUCACUAGUAUUUUAUUUAAAAUUUUUGAAUCAAUACUCAAUAGGAAGGUAUGAGCAACAUAUUUCUGUAGUAAAAUGAAAUUUGGUAGGAUAACUUCUUUGCCUAUUUUUCCAAAGAGUUUAAAUAGUAUUAGAAUUAAUUCUUUUUUAAAAUGAUUGUUAGAAUACACAUAUGAAUCAAAUUGUUCCUAAGGACUUUUUAUGUGCCCAUUGAUGGCAUGUUAAAAUUUCUUUGUCUAACAUAGAGUUAUUUAAGAAUUCCAUUUCCCAUUCUGUUAAUUUGGGCAAUUUUAUAUUUAUUGGGUCAAUUUUUAACUUCUAAUUUUAUCAAUCCUUUGUUUUUUUAAGAUUUCUAUAAUAACAUUUAAUAAAAAGUUUUUUUUUAAUAAUCUUUUUCUGUUUUCUUUUUAACUAUAAGCCCAAUUCAUUGUUCUGCUUUUUUCUUUUUUAUUAUUAUAAGCAUUUAGAGAUAUAAUUAUUUUCCUAAGGAAAAUAAAUAUUUUCCUAUUUUUCCAACUUUGGCUACAUUCCAGAAAUUUUGGUACAUUGUCUCAUUGUUAUUACUAUUCUUUAAUGAAUUUAUUGGUUCUAUGGUCCACCCAAUUUUUAGGACUUUUGUGUUUCCAAUUGAUGUUUAACCUAGGCUUCCAAAGGUCUUUAUUGAACAAAAUGUUUACUAUUUUAUGGUACCAAAAGAGUACAUAUGCCAUUUCUGAUUUUCUGUAGUUUAGUGAGGUUUUUAUGCCUUCUAUGGUAAGUUUCUUGAGGAUAACUAUAUGUAGCUUCUAUAUUCCCAAUCAGUUUUCUCCAGAGGUCUAUGAAAUCUAACUUUUCUAAUAUUCUAUUCAUCUCCUUAACUUGUUUCUUAUUUAUUUUAUUGCUAGAUGUAAUUAGUUCUAAGUGGUAAACUGAGGUUCCCCACUAGUAAACUUAUAAUAUUUCCUCCUCUAACUCAAUAUCCCUUGAGGAUCUAGAAUCUAUUCAAUUUGAUACUUACGUUUUAGUAUUGGUAUUACAUCAUUAUCUAUGAUACCUGUUAAUGAAAUGGAGUUUCCCUGGCUAUCUCAUUUAGUUGGGGAUAUUUUUGUUUUUGCUUCAUUUGAGAUCCUAAUUCUAAUGCCUACCCUACUAAGCUCAUCAGAAGCAAAAUAGAUUCUGCUUUAGCACCUUAUUUUAACUCUUAUGUGUUUUUCUGUUCCAUGUAUGUUUCCUGUAAACAACAUAUUUGUUGGAUUCUCUUAUCUUAAUUUAUUAUGUUUUCUGCUUCCAUUUUAUGGCUGAGUUCAUCCCAUUCCCAGUUAUGAUCAAUAACUAUUACCCUACAUCCUAUUUUUUAUCAUACUCUUUUUAAAAUUCUAUCCCUCUUCUAAACUCUAUUCUGCUUCUUAGAACUACCUCCUUUAAUGCCAUCAAAGCAAAGCUGCAGGAGGAACUUUUGCUUCCUUAUAGUGGCAAGUGCAUGUCUUCUCCCUGGAGCUACAACAGGGACUUCUGGUUACUUGUGAUGGCAAGUGCUCCUCUUCACCCUGUCGCUAUAGCAGGGAAUUCUGGUUAGGUGUGAUGGGACUGCUCUUAUUUACCCCUGGAACAGCAGCAGGGACUUCUCGUAACUUUUGAUGGCAACUGCACCUCUUCACCCUCGAGUGGCAUCAGAAAAUUCUGGUUACUUGUGAUGGCAAGUUUUCCUCUUCACCCUGGAGCAAUAGCCGGGACGUCGAGUAAAGUGUGAUGGCAAGUGUUCCUCUUCACCCUGUCACUAUAGCAGGGAAUUCUGGUUACGUGUGAUGGGACUGCUCUUAUUUACCCCUGGAACAGCAGCAGGGACUUCUCGUAAUUUUUGAUGGCACCUCUUCACCCUCGAGUGGCAUCAGGAAAUUCUGGUUACUUGUGAUGGCAAGUUUUCCUCUUCACCCUGGAGCAAUGGCCGGGACUUCGAGUAAAGUGUGAUGGCAAGUGUUCCUCUUCACCCUGGACCUGCAGCAGGAACUUCAAGUAAUUUGUGAUGGCAACUGUUGUUCUUCACCCUGGAGCUGCAGGAGGGACUUCUGCUUACUUGUGAUGGCAAGUGUUCGUCUUCACCCUGGAGCUGCUACAGGGACUUCUGGUUACUUGUGGUGAAAUGUGUACCUCUUCAGCCAGGAGCUGCAGCAGGGACUUCUGGUAACUUGGGAUCACAAGUGUUCCUCUUCACCCUGGAGCUACAGCAGGGACUUCUGGUUACUUGUGAUGACAAGUGUUCGUCUUCACCCUGGAGCUGCAGCAGGAACUGCUGGUAUCUUGUGAUGGCAAGUAUUCCUCUUCACACUGGAGCGUCAGCAGGGACUUCUGGCACCUUGUAAUGGCAACUAUUGUUCUUCACCCUGGAGCAGCAGCAGGGACUUCUGGUAACUUGUGAUGGCAAGUGUUCCUCUUCACCUUGGAGCAGCAGCAGGGACUUCUGGCAACUUGUAAUGGCAACUAUUGUUCUUCACCCUGGAGCAGCAACAGGGACUUCUGGUAACUUCUGAUGGCAAGUGUUCCUCUUCACCUAGGAGCAGCAGCAGGGACUUCUGGGUCCUUGUGGUCACAAGUGUUCCUCUUCACCCUGGAGCAGCAGCAGGGACUUCUGGCAAAUUGUGAGGGCAACUGUUGUUCUUCACCCUGGAGUAGCAGCAGGGACUUCUGGUAACUUGUGAUGGCAACUGUUCCUCUUCACCCUGGAGCUGCAGCAGGAACUUCUGGUAUCUUGUGAUGGCAAGUAUUCCUCUUCACACUGGAGCGUCAGCAGGGACUUCUGGCACCUUGUAAUGGCAACUAUUGUUCUUCACCCUGGAGCAGCAGCAGGGACUUCUGGUAACUUGUGAUGGCAAGUGUUCCUCUUCACCUUGGAGCAGCAGCAGGGACUUCUGGCAACUUGUAAUGGCAACUAUUGUUCUUCACCCUGGAGCAGCAGCAGGGACUUCUGGUAACUUGUGAUGGCAAGUGUUGCUCUUCACCUAGGAGCAGCAGCAGGGACUUCUGGGUCCUUGUGGUCACAAGUGUUCCUCUUCACCCUGGAGCGGCAGCAGGGACUUCUGGCAAAUUGUGAGGGCAACUGUUGUUCUUCACCCUGGAGUAGCAGCAGGGACUUCUGGUAACUUGUGAUGGCAACUGUUCCUCUUCACCCUGGAGAUGCAGCAGGGACUCCUGGUAACUUGUGAUGGCAAGUGUUCCUCUUCACCCUGGAGCAGCAGCAGGGACUUCUGGUAACUUGUGAUGGCAAGUAUUCCUCUUCACCCUGGAGCGUCAGCAGGGACUUCUGGUUACUUGUCAUCACAAGUGUUCCUCUUCACCCUGGAGCAGCAGCAGGGACUUCUGGCAACUUGUGAUGGCAACUGUUGUUCUUCACCCUAGAGCAGCAGGAGGGACUUGUGGUUACUUUUGGAGGCAAGUGCUUUUCUUCACACUGGACCUGCAGCUGUGAUGUCCAGUUAUUGGUGAUAGUAAGUGUUCUUCUUCAAAUGGGUACUGCAGCUUGGACCUCUGCUUGGUUGUGAUGGCAAAGGCCUCUCUCCAUCUUGGAGCUGCAGCUGAGACAGCUGCUUGGUUGUGAUGGAAAAGUUGUCUCUGCAUCCUGGAACUGCAGCUGAGACCUCUGCUUUCUUCUGAUAGCAAAGGCCUCUCUCCACCACUGAGCUGUAGCUGAGACCUCUGCUUUGUUUUGAUAGAAAAGGCCUCUCUCCCUCCCUAAUCUGCAGCUGGGUCCACUGCAUUUUUAUUGGGGUAAUUGGUCUUCAUCACCCGGUAGCUACAGGAAAGAUUUCUGGUAACUUUUGAUGGCAAAUGGUCCUAUUCACCCUGGAGCUACAGCAGGGACUUCUGGCAACUUAUGAUGACAAGUCUUGCUCUUCAACCUGGAGCGGCAGCAGGGACUUCUGGGUACUUGUGGUAACAAGUGUUCCUCUUCACCCUGGAGCUACAGCAGGGACUUCUGGAUACUUUUGAUGACAAGUGUUCCUCUUCACCCUGGAGCUGCAGCAGGAACUUCUGGUAUCUUGUGAUGGCAAGUAUUCCUCUUCACACUGGAGCGUCAGCAGGGACUUCUAGUUGCUUGUGGUCACAAGUGUUCCUCUUCACCCUGGAGCAACAGCAGGGACUUCUGGCAACUUGUAAUGGGAACUGUUGUUCUUCACCCUGGAGCAGCAGCAGGGACUUUGGGGUACUUGUGGUCACAAGUGUUCCGCUUCACCCUGGAGCAGCAGCAGGGACUUCUGGCAACUUGUGAUGGCAACUUUUGUUCUUCACCCUGGAGUAGCAGCAGGGACUUCGGGGUACUUGUGGUCACAAGUGUUCCCUUUACCCUGGAGCUACAGCAGGGACUUCUGGUUACUUGUGAUGACAAGUGUUCGUCUUCACCCUGGAGAUGCAGCAGGAACUUCUGGUCAUUUGUGGUGUCAAGUUCUUUUUGUCACACUGGACAUACAGCUGGGACGUCUAAUUAUUGGUGAUAGGAAGUGUUCUUCUUCAAACAGGAGCUGCAGCUUGGACUUCUGCUUAGUGUUGAUGGCAAAGGCCUCUCUCCAUCUUGGAGCUGAAGCUGAGACAGCUUCUUGGUUGUGAUGGCAAAAGCCUCUCUCCACCCCGGAGCUGUAGCUGAAACCUCUGCUUUAUUUUGAUAGAAAAGGCCUCUCUCCACCCCUAAUCUGCAGCUGCGUCCUCUGCAUUUUUCUUGGGGUAAUUGGUCUUCUUCACCCAGUAGCUACAGGAAAGAUUGCUGGUAACUUUUGAUGGCAAAUGUUCCUAUUCACCCUGGAGCUGCAGCAGGAACAUCUGGUAAAUUGUGAUGGCAAGUGUUCCUCUUCAUCCUGGAGCUGCAACAGGGACAUACGGUAAGUUUGAUGGCAAGUAUUGCUCUUCACCCUGGAACGUCACCAGGGAUUUCUGGUUACUUGUCGUCACAAGUGUUCCUCUUCACCCUGGAGCAGCAGCAGGGACUUCUGGGUACAUUUGGUCACAAGUGUUCCUCUUCACCCUGGAGCAGCAGCAGGGACUUCUGGUAACUUGGGAUCACAAGUGUUCCUCUUCACCCUGGAGCUGAAACAGGGACUUCUGGUUACUUUUGAUGACAAGUGUUCGUCUUCACCCUGGAGCUGCAGCAGGAACUUCUGGUAUCUUGUGAUGCCAAGUAUUCCUCUUCACACUGGAGCGUCAGCAGGGACUUCUGGCAACUUGUAAUGGCAACUAUUGUUCUUCACCCUGGAGCAGCAGCAGGGACUUCUGUUAACUUGUGAUGGCAAGUGUUCCUCUUCACCUAGGAGCAGCACCAGGGACUUCUGGGUCCUUGUGGUCACAAGUGUUCCUCUUCACCCUGGAGCAGCAGCAGGGACUUCUGGCAACUUGUGAGGGCAACUGUUGUUCUUCACCCUGGAGUAGCAGCAGGGACUUCUGGUAAUUUGUGAUGGCAACUGUUCCUCUUCACCCUGGAGAUGCAGCAGGGACUCCUGGUAACUGGUGAUGGCAAGUGUUCCUCUUCACCCUGGAGCAGCAGCAGGGACUUCUGGGUAUUUGUGGUCAAAAGUUUUCCCCUUCACCCUGGAGCAGCAGCAGGGACUUCUUGCAACUUGUGAUGGCAACUGUUGUUCUUCACCCUAGAGCAGCAGGAGGGACUUCUGGUUACUUUUGGAGGCAAGUGCUUUUUUUCACACUGGACCUGCAGCUGUGAGGUCCACUUAUUGGUGAUAGGAAGUGUUCUUCUUCAAACGGGAGCUGCAGCUUGGACCUCUGCUUGGUUGUGAUGGCAAAGGCCUCUCUCCACCCCUAAGCUGCAGUUGGGACGUCUGCGUAGUUGUGAUGGCAAAGGCCUCAUUCUAUCCUGGAGCGGUAUAUGACACCUCUGCUAGGUUGUGAUAGCAAAGACCUCUGUCCAACCCAGAGCUGCAACUGAGACCUCUGAUUUGUUGUGAUAUCAAAGGCCUCUCUCCACCACUAAUCUGCAGCUAUGUCUUCUGCAUUUUUCUUAGGGAAAUUGGUCUUCUUCACCCAGUAUCUUCAGGAAAGAUUUCUGGCAACAUUUCAUGGCACUUGGACCUCUUCACCUUGGAGCAACAGCAGGGACUUUAGUCAACUUGUAAUGGAAACUGUUAUUCUUCACCCUAGAGGAGCAGCAGGGACUUCUGGUAAUUUGUGAUCACAAGUGUUCCUCUUCACCCUGGAGCUACAGCAGGGACUUCUGGUAACUUGUGAUCACAAGUGUUCCUCUUCACCCUGGAGCUACAGCAGGGACUUCUGGUAACUUGUGAUGGCAAGUGUUCCUCUUCACCUUGGAGCAGCAGCAUGUACAUCAGGCAACUUGUAAUGGCAACUGUUGUUCUUCACCCUGGAGCAGCAGCAGGGACUUCUGGGUACUUGUGGUCACAAGUGUUCCUCUUCACGCUGGAGCUACAGCAGGGACUUCUGGGUACUUGUGAUCACAAGUGUUCCUCUUUACGCUGGAGCUACAGCAGGGACUUCUGGUAACUUGUAAUGGCAACUGUUGCUCUUCACCCUGGAGCGUCAGCAGGAACUUCUGUUUACUUGUCGCCACAAGUGUUCUUCACCCUGGAGCAGCCGCAGGGACUUCUGGCAAAUUGUGAUGGGAACUGGUGUUCUUCACCCUAGAGCAGGAGGAGGGACUUCUGGUUACUUGUGGAGGCAAGUUCUUUUCUUCACACUGGACCUGCAGAUGUAAUGUUCAGUUAUUGGUGAUAGGAAGUGUUCAUCUUCAAGCGGGAGGUGCAGCUUGUACUUCUGCUUGGUUGUGAUGGCAAAGGCCUCUUUCCACCCCUAAGCUGCAGUUGGGACGUCUGCGUAGUUGUGAUGGCAAAGGCCUCGUUCUAUCUUGGAGCGGUAUAUGAGACCUCUGCUAGGGUGUGAUAGCAAAGACCUCUGUCCAACCCAGCGCUGCAACAGAGACCUCUGAUUUGUUGUGAUAUCAAAGGCCUCUCUCCACCCCUAAGCUGCAGCUGUGUCUUCUGCAUUUUUCUUAGCAAAAUUGGUCUUCUUCACCUACUAGCUUCAAGAAAGAUUUCUGGCAACAUUUCAUGGCACGUGGUCCUCUUCACCUUGUAGCAGCAGCAGGGACUUUAGUCAACUUGUAAUGGAAACUGUUAUUCUUCACCCUGGAGCAGCAGCAGGGACUUCUGGUACUUGUGGUCACAAGUGUUCCUCUUCACCCUGGAGCUACAGCAGGGACUUCUGGUAACUUGUAAUGGCAACUGUUGUUCUUCACCCUGGAGCAGCAGCAGGGACUUCUGGGUACUUGUGGUCACAAGUGUUCCUCUUCACCCUGGAGCCUCAGCAGGAACUUCUGGUUACUUGUCACCACAAGUGUUCUUCACCCUGGAGCAGCCGCAGGGACUUGUGGCAAAUUGUGAUGGCAACUGGUGUUCUUCACCCUAGAGCAGGAGGAGGGACUUCUGGUUACUUGUGGAGGCAAGUUCUUUUCUUCACAUUGGACCUGCAGCUGUGAUGUUCAGUUAUUGGUGAUAGGAAGUGUUCUUCUUCAAACGGGAGGUACAGCUUGUACUUCUGCUUGGUUUUGAUGGCAAAGGCCUCUUUCCAACCCUAAGUUCCAUUUGGGACGUCUGCGUAGUUGUGAUGGCAAAGGCCUCGUUCUGUCCAGGAGCGGUAUAUGAGACCUCUGCUAGGGUGUGAUAGCAGAGACCUCUGUCCAACCCAGCGCUGCAACUGAGACCUCUGAUUUGUUGUGAUAUCAAAGGCCUCUCUCCACCCCUAAGCUGCAGCUGUGUCUUCUGCAUUUUUCUUAGGGAAAUUGGUCUUCUUCACCCACUAGCUUCAGUAAAGAUUUCUGGUAACAUUUCAUAGCACCUGGUCCUCUUCACCUUGGAGCAGCAGCAAGGACUAUAGUCAACUUGUAAUGGCAACUGUUAUUCUUCACCCUACAGCAGCAGCAGGGACUUCUGGCAACUUGUGAUGGCAACUGUUAUUCUUCACCCUACAGCAGCAGCAGGGACUUCUGGUAACUUGUGAGCGCAAGUGUUCCUCUUCACCCUGGAGCUACAGCAGGGACUUCUGGUAACUUGUGAUGGCAAGUGUUGCUCUUCACCCUGGAGCUGCAGCAGGGACUUCUGGGAACUUGUGAUGGCAAGUGUUGCUCUUCACCCUGGAGCUGCAGCAGGGACUUCUGGUAACUUGUGACGGCAACUGUUCCUCUUCACCCUGGAGCUACAGCAGGGACUUCUGGUAACUUGUGAUGGCAAGUGUUGCACUUCACCCUGGAGCUGCAGCAGGGACAUCUGGUAACAUGUGAUGGCAAGUAUUCCUCUUCACCCUGGAGCGUCAGUAGGGACUUCUGGUUACUUGUCAUCACAAGUGUUCCUCUUCACCCUGGAGCAGCAGCAGGGACUUCUGGCAACUGGUGAUGGCAACUGUUGUUCUUCACCCUAGAGCAGCAGGAGGGACUUCUGGUUACUUUUGGAGGCAAGUACUUUUCUUUACACUGGACCCGCAGCUAUGAUGUCCAUUUAUUGGUGAUAGUAAGUGUUCUUCUUCAAACGGGAGCUGCAGCUUGGACCUCUGCUUGGUUGUGAUGGCAAAGGCCUCUCUCCACCCCUAAGCUGCAGUUGGGACGUCUCAGUAGUUGUGAUGGCAAAGGCCUCAUUCUUUCCUAGAGCAGCAAAUGAGACCUAUGCUAGGUUGUGAUAGCAAAGACCUCUGUCCAACCCAGAGCUGCAACUGAGACCUCUGAUUUGUUGUGAUAUCAAAGGUCUCUCUCCACCCCUAACCUGCAGCUAUUUCUUCUGCAUUUUUCUUAGGGAAAUUGGUCUUCUUCACCCAGUAACUUCAGGAAAGAUUUCUGGCAACAUUUCAUGGCACGUGGUCCUCUUCACCUUGGAGCAGCAGCAGGGACUUUAGUCAACUUGUAAUGGAAACUGUUAUUCUUCACCCUGGAGCUGCAGCAGGGACUUCUGGGUACUUGUGGUCACAAGUGUUCCUCUUCACCCUGGAGCAGCAGCAGGGACUUCUGGAUACUUUUGAUGACAAGUGUUCCUCUUCACCCUGGAGCUGCAGCAGGGACUUCUGGUAACUUGUGAUGGCAAGUGUUGCCCUUCACCCUGGAGCUGCAGCAGGGACAUCAGGCAACGUGUAAUGGCAACUGUUGUUCUUCACCCUGGAGCAGCAGCAGGGACUUCUGGUAAGUUGUGAUAGCAAGUGUUACUCUUCACCCUGGAGCAGCAGCAGGGACUUCUGGGUACUUGUGGUCACAGAUGUUCCUCUUCACCCUGGAACUACAGCAGGGACUUCUUGUAACGUGUGAUGGCAAGUAUUCCUCUUCACCCUGGAGCGUCAGUAGGGACUUCUGGUUACUUGUCAUCACAAGUGUUCCUCUUCACCCUGGAGCAGCAGCAGGGACUUCUGGCAACUGGUGAUGGCAACUGUUGUUCUUCACCCUGGAGCAGGAGCAGGGAAUUCUGGGUUCUUGUGGUGGCAAGUUCUUUUUGUCACACUGGACAUGGAGCUGGGAUGUCGAGUUAUUGGUGAUAGGAAGUGUUCUUCUUCAAAUGGGAGUUGCUGCUUGGACCUCUCCUUAGUGUGAUGGCAAAGGCCUCUCUCCAUCUUGGAACUGCAGCUAAGACCUCUGCUUUCUUCUGAUGGCAAAGGCCUCUCUCCUCCCUGGAGCUGUAGCUGAGACGUCUUUUGUUUUAAUAGCAAAGGCCUCUCUCCAACCCCUAAUCUGCAGCUGCGUCCUCUGCAAUUUUCUUGGGGUAAUUCGUCUUCUUCACCAAGUAGCUACAGGAAAGAUAUCUGGUAACUUUUGAUUUCAAAUGGUCCUAUUCACCCUAGAGCUACAGCAGGGAUUUCUGGUUACUUGUGGUCACAAAUGUUCCUCUUCACCCUGGAGCAGCAACAGGGACUUCUGGUAACUUGUGAUCACAAGUGUUCCUCUUCACCCUGGAGCUACAGCAGGGACUUUUGGUAACUUGUGAUGGCAAGUGUUCCUCUUCACCUUGGAGCAGCAGCAGGGACUUCAGGCAACUUGUAAUGGCAACUGUUGUUCUUCACCCUGGAGCAGCAGCAGGGACUUCUGUUUACUUGUGGUCACAAGUGUUCCUCUUCAACCUGGAGCUACAGCAGGGACUUCUGGCAACCUGUGAUGGCAAAGGUUGCUCUUCACCCUGGAGCUGCAGCAGGGACUUCUAGUAACUUGUAAUGGCAAGUAUUCCUCUUCACCCUGUAGCGUCAGCUGGGACUUCUGGCAACUUAUGAUGGCAAAUGUUGUUUUUCACCCUGGAGCAGCAGGAGGGACUUCUCAUUACUUGUGGAGGCAAGUUCUUUUCUUCACACUGGACCUGCAGCUGGGACAUCUACUUAUUGGUGAUAGGAAGUGUUCUUCUUCAAACGGGAGGUGCAGCUUGGACUUCUGCUUAGUUGUGAUGGCAAAGGCCUCUCUCCAUCUUGGAGCUGCAGCUGAGACAGCUUCUUGGUUGUGAUGGCAAAGGUGUCUCUACUUCCUAGAACUGCAGCUGAGACCUGUGCUUAGUUGUGAUGGCAAAGGCCUCUCUCCACCCCUAAGCUGCAGUUGAGACGUCUGCGUAGUUGUGAUGGCAAAGGCCUCGUUCUAUCCUGAAAUGGUAAAUGAGACCUCUGCUAGGUUGCGAUAGCAAAGACCUCUGUCCAACCCAGAGCUGCAACUGAGACCUCUGAUUUGUUAUGAUAUCAAAGCCUUCUCUCUCCACCCCUAAGCUACAGCUGUAUCUUCUGCAUUUUUCUUAGGGAAUUUGGUCUUCUUCACCCACUAGCUUCAGGAAAGAUUUCUAGUAACCUUUCAUGGCACGUGGUCCUCUUCACCUUGGAGCAGCAGCAGGGACUUCAGGCAACUUGUAAUGGAAACUGUUGUUCUUCACGCUGAAGCAGCAGGAGGGACUUCUGGUAACUUGUGAUCACAAGUGUUCCUCUUCACCCUGGACCUACAGCUGUGACUUCUGGUACCUUGUGAUGGCAAGUGUUCCUCUUCACCUGGGAGCAGCAGCAGGUACUUCAGGCAACUUGUAAUGGCAACUGUUGUUCUUCACCCUGGAGCAGCAGCAGGGAUUUCUGGGUACUUGUGGUCACAAGUCAUCCUCUUCGCCUUGGAGCAGCAGCAGGGACUUCUGGUAACUUGUGAUCACAAGUGUUCCUCUUCACCCUGGAGCUACAUCAGGGACUUCUGGUAACUUGUGAUGGCAAGUGUUCCUCCUCACCUUGGAGCAGCAGCAGGGACUUCAGGCAAUUUGUAAUGGUAACUGUUGUUCUUCACCCUGGAGCAGCAGCAGGGACUUCUGGUUACUUGUGAUGACAACUGUUGUUCUUCACCCUGGAGUAGCAGCAGGGACUUCUGCUUACAUGUUAUGUUAACUGUUGUUCUUCACCCUGGAGCAGUACCAGGGACUUCUGGUUACUUGUGGUGGCAAGAUCUUUUUGUCACACUGGACAUGCAACUGGGACGUAUAGUUAUGGGGAAUAUGAAGUGUUUUUCUUCAAACGGGAGGUGCAGCUUGGACUUCUGCUUAGUUGUGAUAGCAAAGGCCUACAUCCAUCCUUAAGCUGCAGCUGGGACAUCUAUGUAGUUGUGAUGGAAAACGCCUCUCUCCAUCUUGGAGCUGCAGCUGAGAUCUCUGCUUUGUUUUGAUAGAAAAGGCCUCUCUCCACCCUUAAUCUGCAGCUGCGUCCUCUGCAUUUUUCUUGGGGUAAUUGGUCUUCUUCACCCAGUAGCUACAGGAAAGAUUUCUGGUAACCUUUGAUGGCAAGUGUUGCUCUUCACCCUGGAGCUGCAGCAGGGACAUCUGGUAACUUGUGAUGGCAAGUAUCCCUCUUCAACCUAGAGCGUCAGCAGGGACUUCUGGUUACUUGUCGUCACAAGUGUUCCUCUUCACCCUGGAGCAGUAGCAGGGGCUUCUGGCAAAUUGUGAUGGCAACAGUUGUUCUUCACUCUGGAGCAGCAGGAGGGACUUCUCGAUACUUGUGGAGGCAAGUUCUUUUCUUUACACUGGACCUGCAGCUGUGAUGUCCAGUUAUUGGUGAUAGGAAGGGUUCUUCUUCAAACAGGGGCUGCAGCUUGGACCUCUGCUUUGUUGUGAUGGCAAAGGCCUCUCUCCACCCCUAAGCUGCAGCUGCGUCUUCUGCAUUUUUGUUAGGGAAUUUGGUCGUCUUCACCUAGUAGCUUCCGGUAAGAUUUCUAGUAACAUUUCAUGGCAGGUGGUCUUCUUCACCUUGGAGCAGCAGCAGGGACUUCAGGGAACUUGUAAUGGAAACUGUUGUUCUUCACCCUGGAGGUACAGCAGGGACUUCUGGGUACUUAUGGUCACAAGUGUUCGUCUUUACCCUGGACCUGCAGCAGGAACUUCUGGUAACAUGUGAUGACAAGUAUUCCUCUUCACCCUAGAGCGUCAGCAGGGAAUUCUGGUUACUUGUGGUCACAAGUGUUCCUCUUCACCCUGCAGCAGCAGCAGGGACUUCUGGGUACUUGUGGUCACAAGUGUUCCUCUUCACCCUGCAGCAGCAGCAGGGACUUCUGGGUACUUUUGCUCACAAGUGUUCCUCUUCACCCUGGAGCUACAGCAGGGACUUCUGAUUACUUGUGAUGACAAAUGUUCGUCUUCACCCUGGAGCUGCAGCAGGGACUUCUGGUAACUUUUGAUGGCAACAGUUGUUCUUCACCCUGGAGCAGCAGGAGGGACUUCUCGAUACUUGUGGAGGCAAGUUCUUUUCUUUACACUGGACCUGCAGCUGUGAUGUCCAGUUAUUGGUGAUAGGAAGGGUUCUUCUUCAAACAGGAGCUGCAGCUUGGACCUCUGCUUGGUUGUGAUGGCAAAGGCCUCUCUCCACCCCUAAGCUGCAGCUGCGUCUUCUGCAUUUUUCUUAGGGAAUUUGGUCAUAUUCACCUAGUAGCUUCCGGUAAGAUUUCUAGUAACAUUUCAUGGCAGGUGGUCUUCUUCACCUUGGAGCAGCAGCAGGGACUUCAGGGAACUUGUAAUGGAAACUGUUGUUCUUCACCCUGGAGCAGCAGCAGGGACUUCUGGGUACUUAUGGUCACAAGUGUUCGUCUUUACCCUGGACCUGCAGCAGGAACUUCUGGUAACAUGUGAUGACAAGUAUUCCUCUUCACCCUAGAGCAUCAGCAGGGAAUUCUGGUUACUUGUGGUCACAAGUGUUCCUCUUCACCCUGCAGCAGCAGCAGGGACUUCUGCGUACUUUUGCUCACAAGUGUUCCUCUUCACCCUGGAGCUACAGCAGGGACUUCUGAUUACUUGUGAUGACAAAUGUUCGUCUUCACCCUGGAGCUGCAGCAGGGACUUCUGGUAACUUUUGAUGGCAAGUGUUCCUCUUCACCUGGGAGCUGCAGGAGGGACUUUUGGUUACUUGUGAUCACAUGUGUUCCUCUUCACCCUGGAGCAACAGCAGGGACUUCUGGCAACUUGUGAUGGUAACUGUUGUUCUUAACCAUGGAGUAGCAACAGGGAUUUCUGGGUACUUGUGGUCACAAGUGUUCCUCUUCACCCUGAAGCAGCAGCAGGGACUUCAGGUUACAUGUUAUGUUAACUAUUGUUCUUCACCCUGGAGUAGCACCAGGGAUUUCUGGCAACUUGUGAUGGCAAAUAUUGUUUUUCACCCUGGAGCAGCAGGAGGGACUUUUGGUUACUUGUGGAGGCAAGUUCUUUUCUUCACACUGGACCUGCAGCUGGGACAUUUAGUUAUUGGUGAUAGGAAGUAUUCUUCAAAUGGGAGGUGCAGCUUGGACCUCUGCUUAGUUGUGAUGGCAAAGGCCUCGUUCUAUCCUGGAGCGGUAAAUGAGACCUCUGCUACGUUGUGAUAGCAAAGACCUCUGUCCAACCCAGAGGUGCAACUGCGACCUCUGAUUUGUUGUGCUAUCAAAGGCCUCUCUCGACCCGUAAGCUGCAGCUGUGUCUUCUGCAUUUUUCUUAGGGAAUUUAGUCUUCAUCACCUAGUAGAUUUAGAAAAGAUUUCAGGGCACAUGGUCCUCUUCACCUUGGAACAGCAGCAGGGACUUUAGUCAACUUGUAAUGGAAACUGUUAUUCUUCACCCUAGAGCAGCAGCAGGGACUUCUGGGUACUUGUGAUGACAAGUGUUCCUCAUCACCUUGGAGCUACCACCGGGACUUCUGCUAACUUCUGAUAGCAAGAGUUCCUCUUCACGUUGGAAAAGCUACAAGGACUUCAGGCAACUUGUAAUGGCAACUAUUGUUCGUCACCCUGGAGCAGCAGCAGGGACUUCUGGGUACUUGUGAUUACAGCUGUUCGACUUCACCCUGGAGCUGCAGCAGGGACUUCUGGUUACUUGUGAUGAUAAGUGUUCGUCUUCACCCUCGAGCAGCAGCAGGGACUUCUGGCAACUUGUGAUGGCAACUGUUGUUCUUCACCAUGGAGUAGCAGCAUGGACUUCUGGUUAUAUGUUAUGUUAACUGUUGUUCUUCACCCUGGAGCAGCACCAGGGAUUUCUGGUUACUUGUGUUGGGAAGUUCUUUUUGUCACACUGGACAUGCAGCUGGGACGUCUAGUUAUUGGUGAUAGGAAGUGUUCUUCUUCAAAGGGGUAACUGCAGCUUCGACCUUUACUUGGUUGGGAUGGCAAAGGCCUCUCUCCACCCCUAAGCUGCAGUUGGGACGUCUGCGUAGUUGUGAUGGCAAAGGCCUCGUUUUGUCCUGGAGCAGUAAAUGAGACCUCUGCUAGGUUGUGAUGGCAAAGACCUCAGUCCAACCAAGAGCUGCAACUGAGACCUUUGAUUUGUUGUGAUAUCAAAGGACUCUCUACACCUCUAAGCUCCAGCUGUGUCUUCUGCAUUUUUCUUAGGGAAUUUGGUCUUCUUCAUCCAGUAGCUUCAGGAAAGAUUUCUGGUAACAUUUCAUGGCACGUGGUCCUCUUCACCUUGGAGCAGCAGCAGGGACUUCAGGCAACUUGUAUUGGCAACUGUUGUUCUUCACCCUGGAGCAGCAGCAGGGACUUCUGGGUACUUGUGGUCACAAGUGUUCCUCUUCACCCUGGAGCUACAGCAGGGACUUCUGGUUACUUGUGAUGACAAUUGUUCGUCUUCACCCUGGAGCAGCAGCAGAGACUUUGGGAUACUUGUGGUCACAAGUGUUCUUCUUCACCCUGGAGCAGCAACAGGGACUUCUGGGUACUUCUGUUCACAAAUGUUCCUCUUCACCCUGGAACUAAUGCACGGACUUCUGGUUACUUGUGAUCAAAAGUGUUUGUCGUCACCCUGGACCAGCAGCAGGGACUUCUGGCAACAUGUGAUGGCAACUGUUGUUCUUCACCCUGGAGCAGCAGCAGGGAUUUCUCGUUACUUGUGAUGGCAAGUGUUCCUCUUCACCCUGGAGCUGCAGCAAGGACUUCUGGUUACUUGUGGUCACAAGUGUUCCUCUUCACCCUGGAGCGGCAGCAGGGACUUCAGGCAACAUGUGAUGGCAACAGUUGUUCUUUGCCCUCGAGCAGUAGCAGGAAUUAGGGGUAUUUAUGGUCGCAAUUAUUCCUCUUCACCCUGGAGCUUAAGAAGGGACUUCUGACAACAUGUGAUGGCAAGUGUUCCUCUUCACCGUGGAGCUGCAGCAGGGACUUCUGGCAAGUUGUGAUGGCAAGUGUUCCUCUUCACCCUGGAGCAGCAGGAGGGACUUCUGGCUACUUGUGUUGACUAGUGUUCCUCUUCACCCUGGAGUGGCAGCAGGGACUUCAGGGUAACUUGUGAUGGCAACAGUUGUUCUUUGCCCUUGAGCAGCAGCAGGGAUUCUGGGUACUUGUGGUCACAAGUAUUCCUCGUCACCCUGGAGAUGCAGCAGGGACUUCUGGUUCCUUGUGGUGGCAAGUUCUUUUCGUCAAACUGGACCUACAGGUGGGACGUCCAGUUAUUGGAGAUAGGAAGUGUUCUUCAAACAGGAGCUACAGCUUGGACCUCUGCUUAGUUGUGAUGGGAAUGGCCUCCUUCCACCCAUAAGCUGCAGCUGGCACAUCUAUGUAGUUGUGAUGGCAAAGGCCUCUCUCAACCCUAAGCUUCAGCUCUGUCCUAUGCAUUUUUCUUAGGGCAAUUGGUCUUCUUCACCCAGUAGUUACAGGAAAGAUUUCUGCUAACAUUUGAUGGCAAGUGGUCCUCUUCAACCUGGAGCAGCAGCAGGGAUUUCUGGUUACUUGUGAUGACAAGUGUUUCUCUUCACCCUGUAGCGGCUUCAGGGACUUCUGGUUACUUGGGGUCACAAGUGUUCCUCUUCACCCUGGAGCAGCAGCAGGGACUUCUGGUAAGUUGACCUGGCAAGUGUUCCUCUAUACGCUGGAGCUGCAGCAGGGACUUCGGGUAAGUUGUGCUGGCAAGUGUUCCUCUUCACCCUAGAGCAGCAGCAGGGACUUCUGGUAAAUUGACCUGGCAAUUGUUCCUCUAUACCCUGGAGCUGCAGCAGGGACUUCUGGUAAGUUGUGCUGGCAAGUGUUCCUUUUCAACCUAGGGCAGCAGCAGGGAUUUCUGGUUACUUGUGAUGACAAGUGUUUCUCUUCACCCUGUAGCGGCAGCAGGGACUUCUGGUUACUUGGGGUCACAAGUGUUCCUCUUCACCCUGGAGCAGCAGCAGGGACCUCUGGGUACUUGUGGUCACAACUUUUCCUCUUCACCCUGGAGCUACAGCAGGGCCUUCUGGUAACUUUUGAUGGCAAGUUGUUCCUCUUCACCUUGGAGCUGCAGGAGGGACUUUUGGUUACUUGUGAUCACAAGUGUUCCUCUUCACCCUGGAGGUACAGCAGGGACUUCUGAUUACUUGUGAUGGCAACUGUUGUUCUUCACCAUGGAGUAGCAGCAGGGAUUUCUGGGUACUUGUGGUCACAAGUGUUCCUCUUCACCCUGAAGCAGCAGCAGGGACUUCUGGCAACUUGUGAUGGCAAAUAUUGUUUUUCACCCUGGAGCAGCAGGAGGGACUUCUUGUUACUUGUGGAGGCAAGUUCUUUUCUUCACACUGGACCUGCAGCUGGGACAUUUAGUUAUUGGUGAUAGGAAGUGUUCUUCAAACAGGAGGUGCAGCUUGGACCUCUGCUUAGUUGUGAUGGCAAAGACCUCUCUCCACCCCUAAGCUGGAGUUGGGAAGUCUGCGUAGUUGUGAUGGCAAAGGCCUCGUUCUAUCCUGGAGCGGUAAAUGAGACCUCUGCUAGGUUGUGAUAGCAAAGACCUCUGUCCAACCCAGAGGUGCAACUGCGACCUCUGAUUUGUUGUGCUAUCAAAGGCCUCUCUCCACCCGUAAGCUGCAGAUGUGUCUUCUGCAUUUUUCUUAGGGAAUUUAAUCUUCAUCACCCAGUAGUUUCAGAAAAGAUUUCAGGGCACGUGGUCCUCUUCACCUUGGAGCAGCAGCCGGGACUUCUGGUAACUUGUGAUGGCAAGAGUUCCUCUUCACCUUGGAAAAGCUGCAGGGACUUCAGGCAACUUUUAAUGGCAACUAUUGUUCGUCACCCUGGAGCAGCAGCAGGGACUUCUGGGUACUUGUGAUGACAACUGUUCGUCUUCACCCUGGAGCUGCAGCAGGGAACUCUGGUUACUUGUGAUGACAAGUGUUUGUCUUCACCCUCGAGCAGCAGCAGGGACUUCGGCAAGUUGUGAUGGCAACUGUUGUUCUUCACCCUGGAGCAGCACCAGGGAUUUCUGGUUACUUGUGUUGGCAAGUUCUUUUUCUCACACUGGACAUGCAGCUGGGACGUCUAGUUAUUGGUGAUAGGAAGUGUUCUUCUUCAAAGGGGAGCUGCAGCUUGGACCUUUACUUGGUUGGGAUGGCAAAGGCCUCUCUCCACCCCUAAGCUGCAGUUGGGACGUCUGCGUAGUUGUGAUGGCAAAGGCCUCGUUCUAUCCUGGAGCAGUAAAUGAGACCUCUGCUAGGUUGUGAUAGCAAAGACCUCAGUCCAACCCAGAGCUGCAACUGAGACCUUUGAUUUGUUGUGAUAUCAAAGGCCUCUCUCCACCCCUAAGCUGCAGCUGUGUCUUCUGCAUUUUUCUUAGGGAAUUUGGUCUUCUUCACCCAGUAGCUUCAGGAAAGAUUUCUGGUAACAUUUCAUGGCACGUGGUCCUCUUCCCCCUGGAGCCGCAGCAGGGACUUCUGGUUACUUGUGAUGACAAUUGUUCGUCUUCACCCUGGAGCAGCAGCAGGGACUUCUGGGUACUUCUGUUCACAAGUGUUCCUCUUCACCCUGGAACUACAGCAGGGACUUCUGGUUACUUGUGAUCAAAAGUGUUCGUCGUCAACCUGGACCAACAGCAGGGACUUCUGGCAACAUGUGAUGGCAACUGUUGUUCUUCACCCUGGAGCAGCAGCAGGGAUUUCUCGUUACUUGUGAUGGCAAGUGUUCCUCUUCACCCUGGAGCUGCAGCAGGGACUUUUGGUUACUUGUGGUCAGAAAUGUUCUUCUUCACCCUAGAGCUGCAGCAGGGACUUUUGGUUACUUGUGGUCAGAAGUGUUCCUCUUCACCCUGGAGCGGCAGCAGGGACUUCAGGCAACAUCUGAUGGCAACAGUUGUUCUUCGCCCUCGAGCAGCAGCAGGAAUUAGGGGUACUUAUGUUCGCAAUUAUUCCUCUUCACCCUGGAGCUUAAGAAGGGACUUCUGACAACAUGUGAUGGCAAGUGUUCCUCUUCACCCUGGAGCUGCAACAGGGACUUAUAAUAACUUGUGAUGGGAAGUGUUCCUCUUCACCCUGGAGAUGCAGAAGGGACUUCUGGCAAGUUGUGAUGGCAAGUGUUCCUCUUCACCCUGGAGCGGCAGUAGGGACUUCUGUUAAGUUGUGCUGGCAAGUGUUCCUCUUCAACCUGGAGCAGCAGCAGGGAUUGCUGGUUACUUGUGAUGAAAAGUGUUUCUCUUCACCCUGGAGCAGCAGCAGGGAUUUCUGGCUACUUGUGUUGACUAGUGUUCCUCUUCACCCUGGAGCGGCAGCAGGGACUUCAGGGUAACUUGUGAUGGCAACAGUUGUUCUUCACCCUUGAGCAGCAGCAGGGAUUCUGGGUACUUGUGGUGGCAAAUUCUUUUCGUCACACUGGACCUACAGGUGGGACGUCCAGUUAUUGGAGAUAGGAAGUGUUCCUCAAACGGGAGCUACAGCUUGGACCUCCGCUUAGUUGUGAUGGGAAUGGCCUACUUCCACCCAUAAGCUGCAGCUGGCACUUCUAUGUAGUUGUGAUGGCAAAGGCCUCUCUCAACCCUAAGCUGCAGCUGUGUCCUAUGCAUUUUUUUUAGGGCAAUUGGUCUUCUUCACCCAGUAGUUACAGGAACGAUUUCUGCUAACAUUCCAUGGCAAGUGGUCCUCUUCACCCUGGAGCUCCAGCAGGGACUUCUGCUUACUUGUGAUGACAAGUUUUUCUCUUCACCCAGCAGCGGCAGUAGGGACUUCUGGUUACUUGGGGUCACAAGUGUUCCUCUUCACCCUGGAGCAGCAGCAGGGACUUCUGGUAAGUUGUGCUGGCAAGUAUUCCUCUUCACCCUGGAGCAGCAGCAGGGACUUCUGGUAAGUUGUGUUGGCAAGUGUUCCUUUUCAGCCUAGGGCAGCAGCAGGGAUUUCUGGUUACUUGUGAUGACAAGUGUUUCUCUUCACCCUGUAGCGGCAGCAGGGACUUCUGGUUACUUGGGGUCAUAAGUGUUCCUUGUCACCCCAGAGCAGCAGCAGGCACUUCUGGGUACUUGUGGUCACACGUGGUCUUCUUCACCCUGGAGCUACAGCAAGGAGCUACAACUUUCUGGUAAGUUGUGCUGGCAAGUGUUCCUCUUCACCCUGGAGCUGUAGCAGGGACUUCUGGUAAGUUGUGCUGGCAACUGUUCCUCUUCACCCUGGAGCUGUAGUAGGGACUUCUGGUUACUAGUGGUGGCAAGUUCUUUUUGUCACAAUGGACCUGCAGCUGGGACAUCAAGUUAUUGGUGAUAGGAAGUGUUCUUCUUCAAACGGUUGCUGCAGCUUGGACCUCUGUUUAGUUGUGAUGGCCAAGGGGUCUCUCCACUUCUAAGCUACACUUGGGCCAUCUGCGUAGUUCUGAUGGCAAAGGGCUCAUUCUCUCCUGGAGCGAUAAAUGAGACCUCUACUUUGUUUUGAUAGCAAAGACCUCUCUCCACCCCUAAGCUGCAGCUGCGUCCUCUGCAUUUUUCUUAGGGAAAUUGGUCUUCUUCACCCAGUAGCUACAGGAAAGAUUUCUGGUAACUUUUGAUGGCAAGUGGUCCUGUUCACCCUGUAGCUGCAGCAGGGACUUCUGGUAACUUGUGAUGGCAAGUGGUCCUCUUCACCCUGGAGCUGCUGCAGGGACUUCUGGUAACUUGUGAUGGCAAGUGUUCCUCUUCACCCUGGAGCUGUAGCAGGGACUUCUGGUAACUUGUGAUGGCAAGUGUUCAUCUUCACCCUGGAGCAGCAGCAGGGACUUCUUAUAACUUGUGAUGGCAACUGUUGUUCUUCACCCUGGAGCAGCAUCAAGGACUUCUGUUAACUUGUGAUGGCAAGUGUUACUCUUCACCCUGGAGCAGCAUCAAGGACUUCUGUUAACUUGUGAUGGCAAGUGUUACUCUUCACCCUGGAGCUGCAGCAGGGACUUCUGUUAACUUGUGAUGGCAAGUCUUCCUCUUCACUGUGGAGCAGCAGCAGGGACUUCUGGUUACUUGUGGUGGAAAGUUCUUUUCGUCACACUGGACCUGCAACUGUGACUUACAGUUGUUGGUGAUAGGAAGUGUUAUUCUUCAAAUGGGCGCUGCAGCUUAGACCUCUGCUUAGUUGUGAUGGCAAAGGCCUCCCUCCACCCAUAAGCUGCAGCUGGGACAUCUGUGUAGUUGUGAUUGCAAAGGCCUCUCUCCAUCGUGGAGCUGCAGCUGAGACAGUUUCUUUGUUGUGAUGGCAAAGGCCUCUCUACACCCUAAGCUGCAGCUGCAUCCUCUGCAUUUUUCUUAGGGCAACUGGUCUUCUUCUCCCAGUAGCUGCAGGACAGAUUUCUGGUAACUUUUGAUGGCAAGUGGUCCUCUUCACCCGGGAGCUGCAGCAGGGACUUCUGGUAACUUGUGAUGGCAAAUGUUCAUCUUCACUCUGGAUAAGCAGCAGGGACUUCUUGUAACUUGUGAUGGCAAGUGUUCCUCUUCACCCUGGAACUGCAGAAGGGACUUCUGGUAAGUUGUGCUGGCAAGUAUUCCUCUUCACCCUGGAGCAGCAGCAGGGACUUCUGGUAAGUUAUGCUGGCAAGUGUUCCUCUUCACCCUGGAGCAGCAGCAGGGACUUCUGGUAAGUUGACCUGGCAAGUGUUCCUCUAUACCCUGGAGCUGCAGCAGGGACUUCUGGUAAGUUGUGCUGGCAAGUGUUCCCUUUCACCCUGGAGCAGCAGCAGGGACUUCUGGUUACUUGGCGUCAUAAGUGUUCCUCGUCACCCUAGAACAGCAGCAGGGACUUCUGGGUACUUGUGGUCACACGUGGUCUUCUUCACCCUGGAGCUACAGCAAGGAUUUCUGGUAAGUUGUGCUGACAAGUGUUCCUCUUCACCCUGGAGCAGCAGCAGGGACUUCUGGUUACUUGUGGUGGCAAGUUCUUUUCAUCACACUGGACCUGCCGCUGGGACUUCCAGUUAUUGGUGAUACGAAGUGUUCUUCUUCAAACGGGAGUUGCAGCUUGCACAUCUGCUUAGUUGUGAUGGUAAAGGCCUCUCUCCAUCCCUAAGCUGCAGCUGAGUCCUCUGCAUUUUUCUUAGGGCAAUUGGUCUUCUUCACCCAGUAGCUGCAGGAAAGAUUUCUGGUAACUUUUGAUGGCAAGUGAUCCUCUUCACCCUGCAGCUGCUGCCGGGACUUCUGGUAACUUGUGAUGGCAAGUGUUCAUCUUCACUCUGGAUAAGCAGCAGGGACUUCUUGUAACUUGUGAUGGCAACUGUUGUUCUUCACCCUGGAGCAGCAUCAAGGACUUCUGGUAACUUGUGAUGGCAAGUGUUCCUCUUCACCCUGGAACUGCAGGAGGGACUUCUGGUAACUUUUGAUGGCAAGUGGUCCUGUUCACCCUGUAGCUGCAGCAGGGACUUCUGGUAACUUGUGAUGGCAAGUGGUCCUCUUCACCAAGGAGCUGCAGCAGGGACUUCUGGUAACUUUUGAUGGCAAGUGGUCCUGUUCACCCUGGAGCCGCAGCAGGGACUUCUGUUAACUUGUGUUGGCAAGUGUUCGUCUUCACCCUUGGACAACAGCAGUGACUUCUGGUUACUUGUGAUGACAAGUGUUCCUCUUCACCCUGGAGCAGCAGCAGGGACUUCUGGUUACUUGUGUUAGCAAGUUCUUUUCAUCACACUGGACCUUGCCCUGGGACUUCCAGUUAUUGGUGAUAGGAAGUGUUCCUCUUCAAACGGGAGUUGCAGCUUGCACAUCUGCUUAGUUGUGAUGGCAAAGGCCUCUCUGCAUCCCUAAGCUGCAGCUGCGUCCUCUGCAUUUUUCUUAGGGCAAUUGGUCUUCUUCAACCAGUAGCUGCAGGAAAGAUUUCUGCUAACUUGUGAUGGCAAGUGUUCCUCUUCAUUGUGGAGCAGAAGCAGGGACUUCUGGUAACUUGUGAUGGCAAGUGUUCAUCUUCACCCUAGAGCAGCAGCAGGGACUUCUUGUAACUUGUGAUGGCAACUGCUGUUCUUCACCCUGGAGCAGCAUCAAGGACUUCUGGUAACUUGUGAUGGCAAGUGUUGCUCUUCACCCUGGAGCUGCAGCAGGGACUUCUGGUUACUUGUGGUGGCCAGUUUUCCGCUUCACUGUGGAGCAGCAGCAGGGACUUUUGGUAACUUGUGAUGGCAAUUUCUUUUCGUCACACUGGACCUGCAGCUGGGAUUUCCCGUUAUUUGUUAUGGCAAGUUUUCUUCUUCCAACGGGAGCUGCAGCUUAGAACUCUGCUAGGUUGUGAUGGCAAAGGCCUCUCUCCAUCCUGGAUCUGCAGCUGGUACCUCUGCUUGGUUGUGAUGGCAAAGGCCUCUCUGUAUCCUGGAGCUGUAACUGAGACCUCUACAUGGGUUUGAUGGCAAAGGCCUCUCUCUACCCUGGAGCUUCAGCUGCGUUCUUUCCAUUUUUGUGAUGGCAAUUGGUCUUCACCCAGUAGCUGCAGCUGGGCCUUCUGGUUACUUGUGAUGGCAAGUCUUCCUCUUCUCCCUGGAGCUGCAGCAGGUACUUCUAGUAACUUGUAAUGGCAAUUGUUCUUCUUCACCCUGGAGUAGCAGCAGGGACUUCUGGUUUCUUGUGAUGAUGGGAAGUGUUCUUCAAAUGCAAACUGCAGCUGGGACCUCUGCUUGGUUGUGAUGACAAAGGCCUCUCUCCACCCCAGAGCUGCAGCUGGGACCUCUGCUUCAUUUUGAUGGCAAGUUCUCCUCUUCCCCCUGGAGCAGCAGCAGGGACUUCUGGCUACUUGUGAUGGCAAGUUCUUUUCUUCACCCUGGACCCGCAGCUGGGAAUUCUGGUGACUUGUGAUGCAAAGUGUUUUUCUUCUAACUGGAGCUGCAACUGGGACCUCUGGUUUGUUGUGAUGCCAAAGCCCUCUCUCCGUCCCAUGGCUGCAGCUGGGACCACUACUUGCUUGUGAUGGCAAGUGCUCCUCUUCACCCUGGAGCUUGUUACAGGGAAUUCUAGUUACUUGUGAUGGCAAGUGCUCCUCUUCACCCUGGAGCAGCAUCAGGGACUUCUGGUAACUUGUGGUGGCAACUGUUGUUCUUCACCCUGGAGCAGCAGCAGGGACUUCUGAUUAAUUGUGAUGACAAGUGCUCUUCCUCACCCUGGACCCACAGCUGGGACUUCUGGUUACUUGUGAUGGGAAAGUGGUCUUCUUCAAACUGGAACUGCAGCCGAUACCUCUGCUUUGUUGUAAUGGGAAAGGCCUCUAUGCACCCCUGAGAUGCAGCUGGGACUAUUGCUUUUUUUGUUAUAGCAAGGUCUCUUCACCUAGUAGCUGCAGGGGGGACUUCCUCUUCCUUGUCAUCAUGCUGGCAGGUGCUCCUCUUCACCCUGGAGCAGUAGCAGGGAAUGUGUUUACUUGUGAUAACAAGUGAUCGUCUUCACUCUGGAGCUCCAGGUGUUACCACCAGUUUUUUGUGAUGGCAUUGGCCUCUCUCCCCCUUUGUGUGAAACUGGUAAUGUCUACCGUGCCCACACAGAGCUGCCCCUAAUCACCUUUUUAGCAGUUGUCUAAUACUUGGUUUCUUGGCAGUGAAAACUUUAAGAAAUGUGACAACUAUUCCUGCAGCUAUCACUGUGCCUCCCGUCCUCCAAGAUCCAUAGUAAGUGCCCUUCCCUUUGCCUUCUGAGCCAGUGACCCAAACUUCUCCUCACCUCAAACAUUUUUUUCAGCUGGACAAACUUUUUCUUUGUAUGGCACUUCAGAAUUUGAUUAUUUGAUAUUUUCAAGUUUUUUGGAAAGGCAAGUUGGUAGAGUUCCACUGGAAUGUUCUCUCUGUUCCACCAUCUUGGGGUUUUUUAGGGGGUGCAAGAACUUCCACUCCUGAAACAAAUUAAAACAGUUCCCCAAAAGAGGAGCACUAGGGAAGAUUAGGAGGAAGCAGUGAUCUACUUCCACAAAUUCACCUGAGUAUUCUUUAUCAAUUACACUUGAAGAAUAUGUCUGAGCUGGCCAGCCAUGAUCAUAAUUUAGUAGUGUUUCUUUCAAGAAAUUGUUAAUAUGAUUGAACACUGGAUGCAAUAGCUAGGAAUGCUGGGUUCUAUUCUUGAGUCUUGCUCUUAGCUUUCUGUCAAAGUUUUCCGAGAUGUAAAGGCUUCACUUUAGGGAAAAUGGAAACCCAGAACAACUGGAUUGAAUCUCUGGGGAGUUCAUAGACUGGAAAACGAAAGAGAACUUGCCCAAAUCCAUGAGGCAUUCUCAAGUAAUUUAGAAUUCUAAUGGCACUGGCAGUGUUGAGCAGCAGCAGCAAUGUCCCUUUGUGACCAUGGGCCAUGCUUUCUCUGUAGAUUUGACU
RNAcentral lists this long non-coding RNA (31673 nucleotides) under Sarcophilus harrisii (Tasmanian devil). RNAcentral describes it as "lncRNA (ENSSHAG00000022475.1)". Lineage: Eukaryota; Metazoa; Chordata; Mammalia; Dasyuromorphia; Dasyuridae. The record is from RNAcentral.